Molecule: small nucleolar RNA, 270 nt
Filed under: Pseudomassariella vexata
Lineage: Eukaryota; Fungi; Ascomycota; Sordariomycetes; Amphisphaeriales; Pseudomassariaceae
Description: Fungal small nucleolar RNA U3
Rfam family: Fungal small nucleolar RNA U3
About the family: Small nucleolar RNAs (snoRNAs) are involved in the processing and modification of rRNA in the nucleolus. There are two main classes of snoRNAs: the box C/D class, and the box H/ACA class.
Source: Rfam by way of RNAcentral
ACAGAUCUUUUCUUUAGGAGAAAAUCCCGCUCUAAAUUUUCCAAUUUAGCUGCAGAACCUACCCUGGUUGAUGAACGAAAAUCCCCGUCGCCCUAGAGUGAAAAUUUUACCAGGGUUACUCUUAACUCUACCCUCGACCUCUCCGCAAGGAGGGCGGCCUGAGCGAAAGCAAAGACUGUAUAGAGGGUGUUGAUGAUCUCAACCCCGAUUAGCCGUGGUCUGUCCUUGUGGCGCAUGGCCGGGGUGGGUGGUGGUGGACGUCUGACAGGC